UUGGAUCUGGAUUCAGAUGGUUUUAUGUCUUUUUCACAAACUCCUGAUUGAAAACGCAAGCUCUAGAGGACGACAGAAACCUCUAAUGACUGAGCUUUCAAUAGAUGACGACAAUCUUCAGAUAGUUCGAAACGAAGUGGACCGAUGGAGCCGGGAGUUUGCUCUCUCAAACUGAGGAGAAGUGAGCGCCUAGCAACAGCAGCAUGGCCGCCUUCCUAUUACAGCCCAGCGAGUUAAUGGCAGCUCCCUGAGUUUGCCCUCUGGACAGCAGACCUUUGGGAAUGUGAAAAAAGCUGGAUGCUAAGACUGAGAGUUUCACAUCCCUCAGUCCUCUGCUCAUCUGAGUGGUCCGCUCAUCGCCUGAGGCUGUCCGUCUGAUAAAGGCCUGAAUGGAUUGCUGAUUGGCGUCAUUGCACCGUGAGCUGAACCCCACUGAAGUCCAGCCCUUCUGAUGAACCAUUGAUCAAACGAGAGGAUGUGAGGAAGAGGGGAUGAGAAAGAGGAAGGGCGUCCACCAGGAGGAGGGAGAGCUUUAUACAUCAAAGAUCAGGUCUGGAUUCCAGCUUUCGCUCAAUCGACCCUAUUGAGACUCAUAGCCAAUAACAGGAAGUUAAGACUGAG
This is a long non-coding RNA of Sinocyclocheilus grahami, 621 nucleotides long. RefSeq lists it as uncharacterized. The transcript has 4 exons. The record is from RefSeq and is a predicted model, not a curated record. NCBI's taxonomy places the organism in Eukaryota, Metazoa, Chordata, Actinopteri, Cypriniformes, Cyprinidae.